GUUGGGGCUGGGGCUCAGUGGUAGAGCACUUGCCUAGCAUGUGUGAGGCACUGGGUUUGAGCCUCAGCACAACG
RNAcentral lists this transfer RNA (74 nucleotides) under Marmota monax (woodchuck). Its description in RNAcentral is "tRNA.Ala". The record is from RNAcentral. Lineage: Eukaryota; Metazoa; Chordata; Mammalia; Rodentia; Sciuridae.